AUGUCCCUCACAAGGAGGUUUGAGAGCCUGACGGACAAGAGCGAGCUGGAUGCUCAGCCAGAGCUAUUCAUCCACAAUGUCCCUCACAAGGCCACGACCACACUCACGAAUAUGAACAGUGGUAUUUGUAUGUCCAAGUCAUACCUCGUGAACAACCUUGGUACCAUUGCAAGGUCUGGCACGAGGUAUUUCAUGGAGGCCCUAGCUGUUGUUGUUGCGACCAGCAAGCACAACGACAAUGAGCACUAUGUUUGGGAGUCCCAGACUAGUGGCUUCUUCGCUGUGAUAUGUGAUACUGCUGGAGAGCCCCUAUGGAGGGGUACUAACAUCAACCUCUACCUCAAGGACGAUCAGGUACAGCAAAACAUAAGUCUCGUCCCUAUUUACUUGCUCGUGCUUAAUAUGUUCUGGAUAGACUUGGUAGUUCUUGUGGGUUGUCAUAACUUCAUGAAUUAUGGAUGGCUGAUAAUUAUUCUUCUCUGA
This 483-nucleotide ribosomal RNA is filed under the name Triticum aestivum (bread wheat). RNAcentral's name for it is "partial small subunit ribosomal RNA". Lineage: Eukaryota; Viridiplantae; Streptophyta; Magnoliopsida; Poales; Poaceae. The record is from RNAcentral.